AACGCGAAGAACCUUACCUGGGCUCGAACGGCUUAAGAACAUCUUUGGAAACAGAGACUUCUCGCAAGAGACUUGAGUCGAGGUGCUGCAUGGCUGUCGUCAGCUCGUGUCGUGAGAUGUUGGGUUAAGUCCCGCAACGAGCGCAACCCUUGUCCUGUGUUGCCACUCCGUAAGGAAGCACUCUCAGGAGACCGCCAGCGAUAAGUUGGAGGAAGGUGGGGAUGAUGUCAAGUCAUCAUGGCCUUUAUGUCCAGGGCUACACACGUGCUACAAUGGGCGGUACAAAGCGCUGCAAACCCGCGAGGGGGAGCUAAUCGCAAAAAACCGUUCUCAGUUCGGAUCGCAGGCUGCAACCCGCCUGCGUGAAGCUGGAAUCGCUAGUAAUGGCGUAUCAGAAUGAUGCCGUGAAUACGUUCCCGGGCCUUGUA
RNAcentral lists this ribosomal RNA (428 nucleotides) under uncultured Acidobacterium sp. RNAcentral's name for it is "bacterial SSU rRNA". It matches the Rfam family "Bacterial small subunit ribosomal RNA", at positions 958 to 1385 of the family's 1533-position model. Lineage: Bacteria; Pseudomonadati; Acidobacteriota; Terriglobia; Terriglobales; Acidobacteriaceae. The record is from RNAcentral.